AACAGAAAGAACAGGGCAGAUAGAAUCCAGACGGAGAUUCUGGGCUACACGUUUGUCUUUUCACCACGUGAACGAGCGUUGCAAGUUUGCUGAAAUUUAAUAAACUUUAGCGGCAGGAGUUCAGGAUCACACUACAGGGAACUCAGCUUUCUCCGUGGCUUGUGGGAUUACAAAAGGUGCUGUGCUGGAAAUCCCAUUUGCACUUUCGAAAGCUGGUGACAGGCUAUGACCGAGAACGUCUUAUCAUUUGCCAAGCCAGGAAAAGUGUACUGAACGUGGCGAAAAGCAGUGUUCUUCUACAAAUCCUUGUCUUUUCUGAUGUUCAGCUUCUGUAUUUGUUUCCAUUUUGGUUGAGUCAGUGGGUGGUUGGAUGAUUAGCUCAAUGUUUCUCGUGUAAGAGGAAGGUAAAUGAGAGUAAAGGAAAAACAGCCAAUUUC
This 437-nucleotide long non-coding RNA is filed under the name Bos taurus (domestic cattle). RNAcentral describes it as "long non-coding RNA NONBTAT027122". Lineage: Eukaryota; Metazoa; Chordata; Mammalia; Artiodactyla; Bovidae. The record is from RNAcentral.